This 72-nucleotide transfer RNA is filed under the name Camelus bactrianus (Bactrian camel). It matches the Rfam family "tRNA". From Rfam's summary of the family: Transfer RNA (tRNA) molecules are approximately 80 nucleotides in length. Their secondary structure includes four short double-helical elements and three loops (D, anti-codon, and T loops). The record is from Rfam by way of RNAcentral. RNAcentral also lists the same sequence under 2 other names. Lineage: Eukaryota; Metazoa; Chordata; Mammalia; Artiodactyla; Camelidae.
GUGGGAUUAGCUCAGUGGUAGAGCACAUGCUUAGCAUGCAUGAGGUCCUAGGUUCAAUCCCCGGUACCUCCA